GAUGAACGCUGGCGGCGUGCCUAAUACAUGCAAGUCGAGCGAACAGACGAGGAGCUUGCUCCUCUGACGUUAGCGGCGGACGGGUGAGUAACACGUGGAUAACCUACCUAUAAGACUGGGAUAACUUCGGGAAACCGGAGCUAAUACCGGAUAAUAUAUUGAACCGCAUGGUUCAAUAGUGAAAGACGGUUUUGCUGUCACUUAUAGAUGGAUCCGCGCCGCAUUAGCUAGUUGGUAAGGUAACGGCUUACCAAGGCAACGAUGCGUAGCCGACCUGAGAGGAUGAUCGGCCACACUGGAACUGAGACACGGUCCAGACUCCUACGGGAGGCAGCAGUAGGGAAUCUUCCGCAGUGGGCGAAAGCCUGACGGAGCAACGCCGCGUGAGUGAUGAAGGUCUUCGGAUCGUAAAACUCUGUUAUUAGGGAAGAACAAAUGUGUAAGUAACUAUGCACGUCUUGACGGUACCUAAUCAGAAAGCCACGGCUAACUACGUG
RNAcentral lists this ribosomal RNA (497 nucleotides) under uncultured bacterium. RNAcentral describes it as "partial 16S ribosomal RNA". It matches the Rfam family "Bacterial small subunit ribosomal RNA", at positions 28 to 507 of the family's 1533-position model. The record is from RNAcentral.